Molecule: ribosomal RNA, 906 nt
Filed under: uncultured archaeon
Lineage: Archaea
Description: bacterial SSU rRNA
Rfam family: Archaeal small subunit ribosomal RNA
Source: RNAcentral
CCCUACUGCUAUCGGGGUGGGACUAAGACAUGCGAGUUGUGCGUCUCUAAGCUAUGGUAGAGACGCGGCGUACGGCUCAGUAACACGUGGCUAACCUACCCUUAGGACGGGGACAACCCCGGGAAACUGGGGCUAAUACCCGAUAGGUGAGGAGGCCUGGAAUGGUUCCUAGUCGAAAAGGCGUUGAAACCAUGCUUUUCGACGUCGCCUAAGGAUGGGGCCGCGUCCGAUCAGGCUGUUGGUGGGGUAAUGGCUCACCAAACCUAUAACCGGUACGGGCCGUGAGAGCGGGAGCCCGGAGAUGGGCACUGAGACAAGGGCCCAGGCCCUACGGGGCGCAGCAGUCGCGAAAACUCCGCAAUGCGCGAAAGCGUGACGGGGCUACCCCGAGUGCCAUCCGCUGAGGAUAGCUUUUCCCAGGUGUAAUGAGCCGGGGGAAUAAGGAGAGGGCAAGUCUGGUGUCAGCCGCCGCGGUAAUACCAGCUCUCCGAGUGGUAGGGACGAUUAUUGGGCUUAAAGCGUCCGUAGCCGGCUUAGCAAGUCUCCUGUUAAAUUCAGCGACCUAAUCGUUGAGCCGCGGGAGAUACUACUAGGCUAGGAGGCGGAAGAGGCCGACGGUAUUCUCGGGGUAGGGGUGAAAUCCUAUAAUCCCGGGAGGACCACCAGUGGCGAAGGCUGUCGGCUAGAACGCGCUCGACGGUGAGGGACGAAAGCUGGGGGAGCGAACCGGAUUAGAUACCCGGGUAGUCCCAGCCGUAAACGAUGCGGGCUAGGUGUUGGGGUGGCUACGAGCCACUUCAGUGCCGCAGGGAAGCCAUUAAGCCCGCCGCCUGGGGAGUACGGCCGCAAGGCUGAAACUUAAAGGAAUUGGCGGGGGAGCACCACAAGGCGUGAAGCUUGCGGUUC